AUUGAACGCUGGCGGCAUGCCUUACACAUGCAAGUCGAACGGUAACGGGUCCUUCGGGAUGCCGACGAGUGGCGAACGGGUGAGUAAUAUAUCGGAACGUGCCCAGUAGUGGGGGAUAACUGCUCGAAAGAGCAGCUAAUACCGCAUACGACCUGAGGGUGAAAGGGGGGGAUCGCAAGACCCCUCGCUAUUGGAGCGGCCGAUAUCAGAUUAGCUAGUUGGUGGGGUAAAGGCCUACCAAGGCAACGAUCUGUAGUGGGUCGGAGAGUACGACCAGCCACACUGGGACUGAGACACGGCCCAGACUCCUACGGGAGGCAGCAGUGGGGAAUUUUGGACAAUGGGCGCAAGCCUGAUCCAGCAAUGCCGCGUGCAGGAAGAAGGCCUUCGGGCUGUAAACUGCUUUUGUCAGGGAAGAAAUCUUCUGGGCUAAUACCCCGGGAGGAUGACGGUACCUGAAGAAUAAGCACUGGCUAACUACGUGCCAGCAGCCGCCGUAA
Molecule: ribosomal RNA, 500 nt
Filed under: uncultured bacterium
Lineage: Bacteria
Description: partial 16S ribosomal RNA
Rfam family: Bacterial small subunit ribosomal RNA
Source: RNAcentral